UACGAAGGGGGCUAGCGUUGCUCGGAAUCACUGGGCGUAAAGCGCACGUAGGCGGACUCUUAAGUCGGGGGUGAAAUCCUGGAGCUCAACUCCAGAACUGCCUUCGAUACUGAAGAGCUCGAGUCCGGGAGAGGUGAGUGGAACUGCGAGUGUAGAGGUGAAAUUCGUAGAUAUUCGCAAGAACACCAGUGGCGAAGGCGGCUCACUGGCCCGGUACUGACGCUGAGGUGCGAAAGCGUGGGAGCAACAGGGAUAAGA
RNAcentral lists this ribosomal RNA (258 nucleotides) under uncultured bacterium. RNAcentral's name for it is "partial 16S ribosomal RNA". It matches the Rfam family "Bacterial small subunit ribosomal RNA", at positions 524 to 782 of the family's 1533-position model. The record is from RNAcentral.